GUUUGAUUAGUUUAAGUAAAAUAGGAACUUUGUAAGUUCAAGAUCUAUAAAAAA
Molecule: transfer RNA, 54 nt
Filed under: Araneae sp. MT-2014
Lineage: Eukaryota; Metazoa; Arthropoda; Arachnida; Araneae
Description: tRNA-Thr
Source: RNAcentral